This 66-nucleotide transfer RNA is filed under the name Podarcis lilfordi (Lilford's wall lizard). RNAcentral describes it as "tRNA.Lys". Lineage: Eukaryota; Metazoa; Chordata; Lepidosauria; Squamata; Lacertidae. The record is from RNAcentral.
GAACUCAGCUGGUAGAGCAUGAGGCUCUUAAUCUCAGGGUUGUGAGUUUGAGCCCCACGUUGGCCA